CGCGCCUCCCUGGCCCCCGCUGCUCCUGCAAAGUGGAAUAAACGCCCGGUUUCCCGGCAAAUAUUCACCCUGCCGGCACCGAAAGGGAGGCCGCCCCCCCUCCUUGCCCCCCGUCAGAGGCGGGCCGGGGUCCGGCGGCGCGCCCGGCGGCGCCCGCCCCCAACCAAAGCAUCUGGAAAAUGACACAGCCUGAAGAAAAUGGGAAUUCAAAAUCUGACUCCAAGUUUCCUCAUGAACCCGUCCGCUCCUCCACAUCUGUAGAAAGGGACAGGAAACUUUGAGAUGCCAUGUUUUGACACCUGCUUAGAAUGAAGACUUGUUUAGAAAUGUGGGAAUUUCCUCCCCAGAGAACAGAACAUCUGAGUUUUUAUCAGCGCUUGCAGAACUGUCGUUCUCUCUGUCAAUGGAGACUCUACACCAGUCAAUACAUCAAGGACAAGAGAAAGACAUUGUCAAGUUACUCAAGCAGACCAUCUCACAGCUUCUUCUGCAGGCUUGGUCUUCUUUGACACGAUUGUAUUUUUUAAAUUUUGGAUUUGUUUUCCUUUCCUAAGGUUUUUGGGGAGGUCGGUGUGCCACAGUCCAGUGAGAGGCAAUGUCUUCAGAUGGCGCUGAACAAGCUCUCUUAUGCAAAUAGUGUCAAGAUGCAGAAAGGGGCAUAGAUUGUAGAAAUGAGUUGGAAUGGCGUGAAGGCUGCUGUAUGCCAGGAUUUUAUCCAGGACUUUCCUGUAAAUCUUCUGAGCUGAGAUGCCUUGAAGCUUCAAGUAUAUAAGCAUUUUUGAAUAUGUAUACUACCAGAAAAGCUGAAGAUUUGGCAUGAAUGAAUCCACUACAGAGAUAUCUGCUGGAGUAAGCAGAGAACUUUAAAGCUUUUUUUUCGCCAUGAUGUGCUGUUAGAAGAGGUGAGGUAUCUGGAAAAAAAUUAGACUUUGUGUGAAAAAAAGGAAGCAGCUGACCAAUAAACUACUUAGAAAAAAAUUUAGUUAAAAAGAAGUAUGGACUGAAAAGUUUGGGAUUUUCUUGGACCAUUAAGGAGUCGUAUUAUUGCAGAUUCCAGCUUGAAUCCAGGCCAGGCCAGCAGAGGAAGUCUUUUAGAGCUGGUAAGAAAAUGCCAGAUGUGCUGAUAAAAAAUUGGAUAUGCGGAUGGAACCAGGAUCAUCCUCCAGUACAUUUUCUAAUCACCUGUUAUUUAUCAAAGCCAGGGCCAUGUGACGUAGUUUCAGUAUCUGGUUCCUACUUAUGGUGGAUUGCUCCUGGUGUCCAGAUUGUACUCAGUAAGCUGGCAAUCACUCUUCAGCUUUGCAACCUUGUUAGCAGUCUCGUGUCUAAGUCCAUGUACAAGCAGGAUAUCAUUCUUUUGCAUCUGUAUUUCCAUUCAUCUGUUUUCCUUUCAUUUGUUUCAUUAUUGCUCUACUCAUUCUUGGGUAAGAUAAAGUAUUCUGUACUUAUUAAUGAUACUGAUUCCUUUGACGUUUCUGAGGCAGGCAUGAGUGAAAAAGCCGUUACAGGUUGUCCAGCCUGCUAGGAGAUGGACUGAUCCAGGUUUUGUAUUGGGAACUGCUCUGGAAUUCAGCUUCUGAGACCUUCUGGUCCAGCUAAGCAUCUGGCAAGGACAAGUGUCCCCAUCUUGCCUGCCUACAAUUUCUCUCACCCCUUAACUGUGCAGAUGGUGCUACCUGGGGUAUGUAUACGUAUUAGCCUCACAUUUACUAAUUAGUAUAUAGUGUGGUUUUCCUCAAUGAUGUAUUUAAGGAAUGCAUGAGGAUCACUUGUACAUCUGCCCCUCCAUAGCAGUACAGAAGGUACUAUAUUAUUCUUCAGAUAAUGGAGCUGUAUGUGCUCACAAAAUUUGCAAAACAGUUCUUUGACAGAAGUGAUUCUCAAAGAUAAUUCCAAAGUCCUUGUCUCCUAAUGGUGUAGAUUUCCACUGAGACUUCCCCUUAAAGAGAAAUCAUUUGGUUUGUCAGUGUGACAGACCCAUUUAAUAAUAAAAGCCACUGGAAAUAAACAUAAUGUAUUUUAUUGGUGUUUCUACACAUUGAACUGUAGGGGGAGGUAAGGUCAGAUGUUGAAUAUACAAGGCAACAAUUGACAAAGUAAUGUACAGCAUUUGUUUGGUGUCCAGCCAAAGAUUUGCAGUGCUUUUAAAACGGUAAAGUACAUAGCAAAUAUUUGAUGUGCCAAACCACAGAAGACAGUUCAUGAUGGUUAUGGAGUGGAAGAGACUGUGAGUAGUCCCUGUAGUGUAUUUACUAUACUGUACAUUUUGCACAUGCUAUUUAUUAUACUGCUAGUAAUAUGUUUGUAGUCCCUUUUUUCCCAUAGUAUAUUAUCGUGAACAGAGACCCAGUGGGAGAGUUUUACUUAUUGUGAAAUAGGAGUUGUGCUUCUUGCUGUCCCUUUCCUUCGGUAAAAAUCAAGUUAGCAUUUUCAGGAAUGAACUAUGCAGAAGUGUUUUAUUACCAUAUAGAAGAUAGUUCUGGAAACAAAAUUAGAUGCAACAACAUUAAAAAAAAAAAACCAAAGCAAAAAAACCCAAACAAAAAACCAGCAGUGACACCCCAAACCCAGAGAGAAUUGUGCUAAUUAAGAAAUCAGAGAAAGCUGAUGUUUUAAACUUCUCCUAUUCUCUGUUCAUUUGCUUGCUUAUUUCUCUAUUCAUUUUCCUACCACCACCAGCACCACCAUUAAUUUCUUUCGUAUUGCCUUUUCUCAUUCUGACAUGUCUACACUUCAGUCUUCUGCUCUGAUGAAGAUAUGAUCUGGCUAGCUGCAAACUCACCAACUCACUUGCCAGGAGCAAUGCAGACGCACCAAGCCAGAGCUCAGCAUAUGCCAGUCACCUCUGCAGGUGGGAAUGUGACUUCUAUGCUUCUGCUAAUGCCUACACUGGGUGCUACAUCACUGUGCUGUGUAGACAUCUGAGAAAGGCUUUCUGGGGGGCUGUCAGUGUGUUUUGUUGUCACUUGGUAUUUAUUUUGUGUGGCCAGGCUCCCCGGAGCAGGGCUGAGUGCUUGCUGUAUAAAGCUGACCCUCCAUUUCAAAACUGCCUGUGAGAAAUCCUGACUUUUACAUCUGUUUUUUUCCUGUAACCUAGACUGGAUGAUCACUUAGGUUUUGUUCUGUUUUCACUUGCACUGGUAGACCUAAGCAAAUCAGUUGGAUUCCAAUUCAGGGAAGCUUAAUGUGUUUUUAAUGUUACCCUCAAAAACAAUUAAAACAAAAAAGUCGUUUGUCUAGAAGUGCCUGAUUUGAGUUAUUACAGAGAUCUCUAAUGUCUAAAUGUGGAUUAGUUUUCAGUACAAAAAGGUCCUACAAGACUGAUACUUCUGUCCUUCAAGUACUUGGGCUGCUACUUUAAAUCUCUGAGUGUCCUGUUUGAAGGUGGGACUCUCACUUGCUUAAUGUUAAACAUGUGCCUGAGUGUCACGCUGAAGUCUGCAACUUUAUUCUCAGGGCAUCUAUGAUUUACUGUGUGUGUUUGCCAGGCAAC
This is a non-coding RNA of Phalacrocorax carbo (great cormorant), 3493 nucleotides long. Lineage: Eukaryota; Metazoa; Chordata; Aves; Suliformes; Phalacrocoracidae. The record is from RefSeq and is a predicted model, not a curated record.